This 1083-nucleotide long non-coding RNA is filed under the name Homo sapiens (human). RNAcentral describes it as "HSALNT0023744". Lineage: Eukaryota; Metazoa; Chordata; Mammalia; Primates; Hominidae. The record is from RNAcentral.
CGGGCACGGUGGCUCACGCCUAUAAUCCCAGCACUCCAGGAGGCCGAGGCGGGUGAAUCACAAGGUCAGGAGUUUGAGACCAGCCUGACCAACAUUGUGAAACACCGUCUCUACUAAAAAUACAAAAAUUAGCCUGGUGUGGUGGCAGGCAACUAUAAUCCCUGCUACUCGGCAGGUUGAGGCAGGAGGUUGCAGUGAGCCGAGAUCGUGCCACUGCACUCCAGCCUGGGUGAUAGAGUGAGACUCUAUCUCAAAAAAAAAAAAAAAAAGGAAAUUUGGACAGUUACAGAGAAAUGACGGAUGCAGGGAGAAGACAGCCAUCAGCAAGUCAAAGAGAGAACCCUCAAAAGGAAUCAUGUCUGCCGACACAUUGAUCUGGGACUUGCCAGGCUCCAGAACGAAGAGGAGAUGACACAGAAACACAUGGAGGGAAGACCAUGAGGAUACGGGGAGAAGGCAGCCAUCUGCAAGCCAAGCAGAGAGGCCUCAGGAGAAACCACCCCUGCUGACGCCUUGUUCUUGGACUUCCAGCCUCUGGAACUGAAAAGGCUUUUAGAUUUUAUUUAAAAAGAAGAAGGAGGAAGAGGACGAGGAGGAAAAAAUGGCAAAAAAAGAAGAUGGAGAAAAAGCAACAGCAGCAAAGAAAACAACUGUGUGGGAAUUUUCAUUGGAAUUGCAUUAAAAUACAGAUUGGAAGAGAAAUUACAUUUUAAGAUAUUGAGCCUACCUAUUUAGGAAUAUGGCAUAUUUUUCAUUUGCUUAGGUGAUCUUUCAUGAUUUUCGUUAAAGUUUUAUCCUUUGUCUCCAUAAAGGGGACUUGAAUAUUAGAUUUGUUCCUAGGCAUUUUACCUUUCUGUUGCUAGUACAAAUCUUUUUUAAAAUUACCUUUUAUAACUGAUUAAAGUAGGUAUGUAGAAAUGCAAUUGAAAUGCAGUCAAAAUAUUGAUUUUGUAUUUAGCCAUAUAGUUUCUGGGUUUUUGUUUUGCAAUGGGGGUCUCACACUGUCUCCCAGGGUGGAUUGUAGCUCACUGUAACCUUGAGGUCCUGGGCUCAAGGGAUCUCCUUCCUCAUCAGCCUCCCGAG